RNAcentral lists this transfer RNA (68 nucleotides) under Marmota marmota marmota (Alpine marmot). It matches the Rfam family "tRNA". Rfam says of the family: Transfer RNA (tRNA) molecules are approximately 80 nucleotides in length. Their secondary structure includes four short double-helical elements and three loops (D, anti-codon, and T loops). Further hydrogen bonds mediate the characteristic L-shaped molecular structure. tRNAs have two regions of fundamental functional importance: the anti-codon, which is responsible for specific mRNA codon recognition, and the 3' end, to which the tRNAs corresponding amino acid is attached (by aminoacyl-tRNA synthetases). tRNAs cope with the degeneracy of the genetic code in two manners: having more than one tRNA (with a specific anti-codon) for a particular amino acid; and 'wobble' base-pairing, i.e. permitting non-standard base-pairing at the 3rd anti-codon position. The record is from Rfam by way of RNAcentral. RNAcentral also lists the same sequence under 1 other name. Lineage: Eukaryota; Metazoa; Chordata; Mammalia; Rodentia; Sciuridae.
GUGGUGGCUCAGUGAUAGAGCGCUUGCCUUGCAUGUGUGAGGCACUGGGUUCAAUUCUCAGCAGCACA